This 253-nucleotide ribosomal RNA is filed under the name uncultured bacterium. RNAcentral describes it as "partial 16S ribosomal RNA". It matches the Rfam family "Bacterial small subunit ribosomal RNA", at positions 524 to 776 of the family's 1533-position model. The record is from RNAcentral.
UACGGGGGGGGCAAGCGUUGUUCGGAAUUACUGGGCGUAAAGGGCUCGUAGGCGGCCAACUAAGUCAUACGUGAAAUCCCUCGGCUUAACCGGGGAACUGCGUCUGAUACUGGAUGGCUUGAGAUUGGGAGAGGGAUGCGGAAUUCCAGGUGUAGCGGUGAAAUGCGUAGAUAUCUGGAGGAACACCGGUGGCGAAGGUGGCAUCCUGGACCAACACUGACGCUGAGGAGCGAAAGCCAGGGGAGCAAACGGG